Molecule: ribosomal RNA, 204 nt
Filed under: uncultured bacterium
Lineage: Bacteria
Description: partial 16S ribosomal RNA
Rfam family: Bacterial small subunit ribosomal RNA
Source: RNAcentral
AGAGUUUGAUCCUGGCUCAGGACGAACGCUGGCGGCGUGCUUAACACAUGCAAGUCGAGCGGAGACAGUGAGUAGCUUGCUAUGAGCUGUUUUAGCGGCGGACGGGUGAGUAACGCGUGAGCAACCUUUCCCAGACAGGGGAAUAACACACCGAAAAGGUGUACUAAUACCGCAUAAGACCACGGGAUCGACAUGGUUCUGGGG